Chenopodium quinoa (quinoa) is the source of this 856-nucleotide long non-coding RNA. RefSeq lists it as uncharacterized. The transcript is spliced from 3 exons. Lineage: Eukaryota; Viridiplantae; Streptophyta; Magnoliopsida; Caryophyllales; Amaranthaceae. The record is from RefSeq and is a predicted model, not a curated record.
UCAUUUUUACUUUCUCUCUCUUCAUUUCAUUUUCUCUCUCUCCCUCUGAAUUCUCUCUAAUUCUCUCUCUUGCUUCGAAUUUUUCUGCGCUCUUAUCGUCGUUGGAUUUGCUUUUCUUCUUCGCUUUUUUUUCAUUGCAAAUUGAUACUGGACAACUUAGCUAUUUGAGCAACUAAGAACUAUCGGGAACCCCCAGUGAGAUAAGACAAAUGAUAUCAUCAAUGUUUUGUGCUUAUGAUGUCUUGUGAUUGCUCAACAUUGACAAAGCACUCAUGGAGUUAUGGUGCAGAAAAAAAAACCGACUGUUACCCAGGCAGUUCCUCUCAUUAGAUUAGAUUUCAGAAUAUGGUAAAAUUCCGUACUUAUGUAGCACAAUGUGUGGAAAUUUCUUGUUAAAAAUCUAUAGUAAGAUGUUAUGCACAACCGAACAUCAUAAAUAAACGUUUCUUCUCUUUUUCAAGGGCACUUUAGGGGACAAGAGUACCAAUUAGUGUUAUGGUGUGAUUGUCUGUGAUCAAUUGAAGGUCUAUACCCUCUCAAGUUUCCAUUAGUAGAUUCUCAUGAAACAUGGAUCACUCGUCUCUCUAGAACCUCCAAGGCUUCUAAACUGGAAAUUUCAUCUGGUCUUAGCAACUGAUUUUGAAGUUGCUGAUGUUGUCUUUGCUCAUUUUAUUAUUGUCAACUUUAUAUACACUAGCUUUCUAGCUCAAGAGGUAGAGUAUUGUGCAAAUGCACAAAAGAUGUGGGUUCGAAUCCCAUAUAAAUUCAUUUGUAUUUACUUUAAGAGAUAUUUUAUUUACUUCAACUUAUUUUGUAUCUACUUUUAUUACUUACAAACUCAAGCUUACUUAUCCAA